UAGAGUUUGAUCCUGGCUCAGAACGAACGUUAGCGGCGCGCCUAACACAUGCAAGUCGCACGAGAAAGGGCUUCGGCCCCGGUAAAGUGGCGCACGGGUGAGUAACACGUGGGUAACCUGCCCUCGAGCGGGGGAUAACAUUCCGAAAGGAGUGCUAAUACCGCAUAAGACCACGACCUCGAAAGAGGACGAGGUAAAAGCUGGCCUCUGUAUACAAGCUAGCACUUGAGGAUGGGCCCGCGGCGCAUCAGGUAGUUGGUGAGGUAACGGCUCACCAAGCCGAAGACGCGUAGCUGGUCUGAGAGGAUGAUCAGCCACACUGGAACUGAGACACGGUCCAGACUCCUACGGGAGGCAGCAGUGGGGAAUCUUGCGCAAUGGGCGAAAGCCUGACGCAGCGACGCCGCGUGAGUGAUGAAGGCCUUCGGGUUGUAAAGCUCUGUGGGGCGAGACGAAUAAGUGCAGCCCAAUACGUUGCAUGAUGACGGUAUCGCCUUAGCAAGCACCGGCUAACUCUGUGCCAGCAGCCGCGGUAAGACAGAGGGUGCAAACGUUGUUCGGAAUUACUGGGCGUAAAGCGAGUGUAGGCGGUCUGCUAAGUCGGGUGUGAAAGCCCCGGGCUCAACCCGGGAAGUGCACUCGAAACUGGCAGGCUAGAGUAUCGGAGAGGUUGGUGGAAUUCUCGGUGU
RNAcentral lists this ribosomal RNA (689 nucleotides) under bacterium enrichment culture clone SC-2_21. RNAcentral's name for it is "bacterial SSU rRNA". It matches the Rfam family "Bacterial small subunit ribosomal RNA", at positions 1 to 676 of the family's 1533-position model. The record is from RNAcentral.